UUAGUCUUUUAAUUGAAGACUGGAAUGAAAGAGUUUACCUAGAGAAAUUUUUUUAAGUUAAGAAAAUGAAGUUUACUUUUUAGUAAGAAGGCUAAAAUAUUUCUUUUAGACAAGAAGACCCUAUAAAACUUUAUAUUUCUUCAAGUUUAGAGUUUGUAGAAGUAUUUCACUGGGGUGGUGGGGAAAAGAGCUUUCCUUGAAAAAUUAAACAAGCAUGUUUUUGUUUCUAGAAUUUCUAAAAAAGGAAUGAGUUACUUUAGGGAUAACAGCUUUAUUCACUUAGAAAGUUCAAAUCGACAAGUGAGUUUAUGACCUCGAUGUUGAAUUAAGAGUCCUUUUUUAUGAAGUAGUU
RNAcentral lists this ribosomal RNA (352 nucleotides) under Xenobuthus xanthus. RNAcentral describes it as "partial large subunit ribosomal RNA". The record is from RNAcentral. Lineage: Eukaryota; Metazoa; Arthropoda; Arachnida; Scorpiones; Buthidae.